ACAUGCAAGUCGAACGCUUUUUCUUUCACCGGAGCUUGCUCCACCGAAAGAAAAGGAGUGGCGAACGGGUGAGUAACACGUGGGUAACCUGCCCAUCAGAAGGGGAUAACACUUGGAAACAGGUGCUAAUACCGUAUAACAAUCGAAACCGCAUGGUUUCGGUUUGAAAGGCGCUUUUGCGUCACUGAUGGAUGGACCCGCGGUGCAUUAGCUAGUUGGUGAGGUAACGGCUCACCAAGGCAACGAUGCAUAGCCGACCUGAGAGGGUGAUCGGCCACAUUGGGACUGAGACACGGCCCAAACUCCUACGGGAGGCAGCAGUAGGGAAUCUUCGGCAAUGGACGGAAGUCUGACCGAGCAACGCCGCGUGAGUGAAGAAGGUUUUCGGAUCGUAAAACUCUGUUGUUAGAGAAGAACAAGGAUGAGAGUAGAAUGUUCAUCCCUUGACGGUAUCUAACCAGAAAGCCACGGCUAACUACGUGCCAGCAGCCGCGGUAAUACGUAGGUGGCAAGCGUUGUCCGGAUUUAUUGGGCGUAAAGCGAGCGCAGGCGGUUUCUUAAGUCUGAUGUGAAAGCCCCCGGCUCAACCGGGGAGGGUCAUUGGAAACUGGGAAACUUGAGUGCAGAAGAGGAGAGUGGAAUUCCAUGUGUAGCGGUGAAAUGCGUAGAUAUAUGGAGGAACACCAGUGGCGAAGGCGGCUCUCUGGUCUGUAACUGACGCUGAGGCU
Molecule: ribosomal RNA, 728 nt
Filed under: uncultured Bacilli bacterium
Lineage: Bacteria; Bacillati; Bacillota; Bacilli
Description: bacterial SSU rRNA
Rfam family: Bacterial small subunit ribosomal RNA
Source: RNAcentral